RNA transcript from Raphanus sativus (radish), 1815 nucleotides. It is a transcript of the gene named lysine-specific demethylase JMJ32, with no coding region annotated. NCBI's taxonomy places the organism in Eukaryota, Viridiplantae, Streptophyta, Magnoliopsida, Brassicales, Brassicaceae. The transcript has 5 exons. The record is from RefSeq and is a predicted model, not a curated record.
AAAAAGCCCCAAAUUAUUCCCGCCAUUUUUGUGUGUGUAAAAUUAGGGAUUUCAAUUCAAAGAUGGCGAAGAAGGGGAUAGAGAAUCUGUGGAGAGAAGUGAGGGAGCUGAGUUUGGGAACCGAGACCGAUCGCCUCGACUCUCCUCCCUCUCCGCUCCACUUCCUCCGAGACUACGUCUCUCAGAGCAAGCCCUGCGUGAUCUCCAACGCGAUCCCUCACUGGCCGGCUCUAAACCUCUGGUCCGAUCCCGCUUACCUCGCCGGAACUUUGUCCAACGACCUCGUCUCGCUUCAUCUCACUCCCAACGGCUCCGCCGACGCCGUCACUCCGAUUAGCAGCGACGACGGAGGAGAUCUCUGUUUCGCUUCGGCUCACGUGGAGAAGCUCCCGUUCCCUGAGGCUCUUCGCGCCGUUCGAUCCUCAUCGUCCAAGGGGGAGGAGAAGAAGGUCGGGUAUUUGCAGCAGCAGAACGAUUGUUUUAGAACGGAGUAUUCGACCGUUGCUAAGGACUGCGACGGAGACAUCCCGUGGGCUACGGAGGCGCUGGGGUGCUCCCCGGAAGCUGUGAACCUUUGGAUAGGCACUGGUCUCUCCGUGACUUCUUUUCACAAAGACCACUACGAGAAUCUAUACGCCGUCGUUUCGGGGGAGAAGCAUUUCCUUCUCCUUCCUCCCACCGAUGUGCACCGCCUCUACGUGCAGCGAUAUCCAGCUGCCAAUUACAAUUACAAUCGAGAUACUGAAGAGUUCAAGCUUGAGAUUGAGCAGCCAGUGAGGCAUGUGCCGUGGUGCAGUGUUGAUCCAUACCCUUCACCAGAGAGGGAAGCAAGUGAGAGAUUGAAAUAUCCGUUGUUCUUUAAUGGCCCAAAGCCCUUUCAUUGUACUGUCAAGGCUGGGGAGGUUCUUUACCUGCCCAGUAUGUGGUUUCACCAUGUUAGUCAAACCCCAGGAGAUGGUGGCUAUACCAUUGCGGUGAACUAUUGGUAUGACAUGCAGUUCGACGUCAAAUAUGCUUAUUUCAACUUCUUGCAAUCUUUAUCAUACGAGUCAUCUUCACUUAAUCCAGUUCUGUCUUGGAGAGAAGAUGAAGAUACGGAAUCUGGUGAUUCAGAUGUAUGAAGAGUCGAAACAACGUUUUGCUUGGUGAGGUCAAGUUUGUUUUAUCAGUCAUGGUUGAAAGCUCGGGAAGAUCGUAACUUAGCAUUUGGAAAAUCUUAGGACAAAGGCGGAGAAUUGUCUGAACGUUGUUUGUUUGAUCCUUGCCAUGUACUUUGAUUUUGGCAGUGAGGGCAUGUGGAUUAGUGGAUGCUGUUCGAUAUGUACGAGAAGGAUGGGUUGGUGAAAGAUGCAGAAAUGGUAUUCUGAGCUAUAAAGGGCGAGAAGUUUUAGAUGCUCCAAGGCUAUGGCCGCCAGUUAUAUGCAGAAUGGGUUUCACGUUGAGGCCAUUAAGAUUCUCUAUCAGAUGAAAGUGGCCGGGUUGAUACGAAGCAGGCUGUUCGAUAUGUACGAGAAGGAUGGGUUGGUGAAAGAUGCAGAGAUGGUAUUCUGAGCUAUAAAGGGCGAGAAAAGUUUUAGAUGCUCCAAGGCUAUGGCCACCAGUUAUAUGCAGAAUGGGUUUCACGUUGAGGCCAUUGAGAUUCUCUAUCAGAUGAAAGUGACUGGCAUCGAAGUGUAUAACAGACUCGUGAACGAGGUGAAAGACCAUUAGCUGUUCUAGCUAGAUAAUGAACCUGAUAGUUAAGACUCUGUUGUGUUUAAGGCAUGUAAAUGUUGAUGUGUUUACACAGAUAUAUAUACUGUUUGUGUUUGAUAA